ACGUAGACGCUAUUCUCUAAGAUUAACCCAUGCAUGUUUUUGACAUUUGAAAAAUGGACUGCUCAGUAAUACUCACUUUAUUUUAUGUAAAUUUUUGAUUAACUACGUUAAAGUGUAGAUAAGAUGUUUACAGUAAGAGUGAGACCUAUCAGCUAGUUGUUAAGGUAAUGGCUUAACAAGGCUGUGACGGGUAACGGUAUUACUUUGUAAUAUUCCGGAGAAGGAGCCUGAGAGACGGCUACUAAGUCUAAGGAUUGCAGCAGGGGCGAAACUUGACCUAUGGAUUUUAUCUGAGGCAGUUAUGGGAAGUAAUAUUAUAUUGUUUCAUAUUUUAAAAGUAUAUGAGGUGAUUAAUUGGAGGGCAAAUCAAGUGCCAGCAGCCGCGGUAAUACUUGUUCCAAGAGUGUGUAUGAUGAUUGAUGCAGUUAAAAAGUCCGUAGUUUAUUUUUUUAAGAAGCAAUAUGAGGUGUACUGUAUAGUUGGGAGAAAGAUGAAAUGUGACGACCCUGACUGGACGAACAGAAGCGAAAGCUGUACACUUGUAUGUAUUUUUUGAACAAGGACGUAAGCUGGAGGAGCGAAGAUGAUUAGAUACCAUUGUAGUUCCAGCAGUAAACUAUGCCGACGAUGUGAUAUGGAAAUAUUAAUUUGUAUUACAUAAUAGAAAUUUGAGUUUUUUGGCUCUGGGGAUAGUAUGAUCGCAAGAUUGAAAAUUAAAGAAAUUGACGGAAGAAUACCACAAGGAGUGGAUUGUGCGGCUUAAUUUGACUCAACGCGAGGUAACUUACCAAUAUUUUAUUAUUUUGAGAGAACGGUUUUUUGUUUGAGAAUGAUAAUAGUGGUGCAUGGCCGUUUUCAAUGGAUGCUGUGAAGUUUUGAUUAAUUUCAACAAGACGUGAGACCCUUAUUUUUUAUUAAAGACAGACACAAUCAGUGUAGGAAGGAAAGGAUUAAAACAGGUCCGUUAUGCCCUCUGACAUUUUGGGCUGCACGCGCAAUACAAUAGAUAUAUAAUCUUUAUGGGAUAAUAUUUUGUAAGAGAUAUUUGAACUUGGAAUUGCUAGUAAAUUUUAUUAAAUAAGUAGAAUUGAAUGUGUCCCUGUUCUU
RNAcentral lists this ribosomal RNA (1107 nucleotides) under Vairimorpha ceranae. Its description in RNAcentral is "Nosema ceranae partial small subunit ribosomal RNA". It matches the Rfam family "Microsporidia small subunit ribosomal RNA", at positions 21 to 1183 of the family's 1311-position model. Lineage: Eukaryota; Fungi; Microsporidia; Nosematidae. The record is from RNAcentral.